Molecule: long non-coding RNA, 216 nt
Filed under: Panax ginseng (ginseng)
Lineage: Eukaryota; Viridiplantae; Streptophyta; Magnoliopsida; Apiales; Araliaceae
Description: long non-coding RNA (PGIN_LNC015171)
Source: RNAcentral
GUAGAACCGGUAUCGAAUAAGGUAUAGACUUCGCAAGAAUUUAUGAUUAGCUUACCCAUGAUAACUUCGUCCGAGUUCCUCGCUUUUUGAGAAGUCACGACAAACGUUCUUCCUUGAACCAUCGACUUUGACUUGUCCGGGACAACCUUUGGUGACACCGUAUCAACUGGAUUUAACUUUGAUAUAGAGCACAUUCCACCGUCAACUGCUUCGUCG